Molecule: long non-coding RNA, 351 nt
Organism: Camelina sativa (false flax)
Lineage: Eukaryota; Viridiplantae; Streptophyta; Magnoliopsida; Brassicales; Brassicaceae
Source: RefSeq, a predicted model, not a curated record
AUAACUGGCAGGUUGACAUGAAACUGCAACUGCCCUAUAUGGUUCUAACUCAGUGAAGUGAUCAGCUUCCUGUUAGCACCAAAAUUUGACAUGAACAGUGAUAUCCUGCCUGGUGUUGUGAGGGAUUAUUGGAAUCUUUUGGUAGAAAUGACAAGAGGCUGCAUCUGCCCUAUGGUUCCAUCUCAGGGAAGUGAUUUGUUUCCUGAUAGCAUUAAAUUUGAUAUGGGAAGUGAUCAUGGUGUUGUGAGGAAUUACGUAAAGCUUUUGGUUUGGAGAUGAUGAUGAUGCAUGCUUUAUGCCCCAACCAACAUGCAACAGUUAUGUAGAAUCCUGUAUAAGUGAUCUCUCUAA